Molecule: ribosomal RNA, 301 nt
Filed under: uncultured bacterium
Lineage: Bacteria
Description: bacterial SSU rRNA
Rfam family: Bacterial small subunit ribosomal RNA
Source: RNAcentral
GACGAACGCUGGCGGCGUGCUUAACACAUGCAAGUCGAGCGGUAAGGCCCUUUCGGGGGUACGACGAGCGGCGAACGGGUGAGUAACACGUGGGUGACCUGCCCUCAGCUCUGGGAUAAGCCUGGGAAACCGGGUCUAAUACUGGAUAUGACUCCAUGACGCAUGUUGUGGGGUGGAAAGCCUUGUGCGGCUGAGGAUGGGCCCGCGGCCUAUCAGCUUGUUGGUGGGGUGANGGCCUACCAAGGCGACGACGGGUAGCCGGCCUGAGAGGGCGACCGGCCACACUGGGACUGAGACACGG